GGGUGAGUAAUAUAUCGGAACAUGUCCGGAAGUGGGGGAUAACGUAGCGAAAGUUACGCUAAUACCGCAUAUGCCCUGAGGGGGAAAGGGGGGGAUCGCAAGACCUCUCGCUUUCGGAGUGGCCGAUAUCGGAUUAUCUANUAGGUGAGGUAAAGGCUCACCUAGGCGACGAUCCGUAUCUGGUCUGAGAGGACGACCAGCCACACUGGAACUGAGACACGGUCCAGACUCCUACGGGAGGCAGCAGUGGGGAAUUUUGGACAAUGGGCGCAAGCCUGAUCCACCCAUACCGCGUGAGUGAAUAAGGCCUUCGGGUUGUAAAGCUCUUUCUNCCGGAAAGAAAUCGCGCUUUUUAAUACAAAGUGUGGAUGACGGUACCGGAAGAAAAAACACCGGCUAACUACGUGCCAGCAGCCGCGGUAAA
Molecule: ribosomal RNA, 424 nt
Filed under: uncultured Gallionella sp.
Lineage: Bacteria; Pseudomonadati; Pseudomonadota; Betaproteobacteria; Nitrosomonadales; Gallionellaceae
Description: bacterial SSU rRNA
Rfam family: Bacterial small subunit ribosomal RNA
Source: RNAcentral